This 438-nucleotide ribosomal RNA is filed under the name uncultured bacterium. RNAcentral's name for it is "bacterial SSU rRNA". It matches the Rfam family "Bacterial small subunit ribosomal RNA", at positions 8 to 334 of the family's 1533-position model. The record is from RNAcentral.
AGAGUGUGAUGCCUGGCUCAGAUGUGAACGCUGGCGGCGUGCCUAACACAUGCAAGUCGAGCGGUAACAGGUGUAGCAAUACAUGCUGACGAGCGGCGAACGGGCGAGUAAUGCUUUGGAAUCUUCCCAGUAGUGGGGAAUAACCAGUCGAAAGAUUGGCUAAUACCGCAUACGUCUGUAAAGGGAAAGCGGGGGCUCUUAUAAGACCUCACGCUAUUGGAUGAGCCAAAGUCGGAUUAACUAGAUUGGUGUGGGUUAUUGCCUACCCAGGGCCAACCAAUUCCCUUAGCUGGGUCUGGAAGAAGGACCGAACCCAGCCCCCCACCCGGAAAAUCUGAAGUACCACGGGGUCCCCGGGAUCUCCCAUAGCGAGGUAGGAGUAUUUCAGCAUAUUGGGAAACUAAUACCGGGAGCGGAAUGGGCGCCGGCAACAUUCCA